Molecule: long non-coding RNA, 631 nt
Organism: Polypterus senegalus (gray bichir)
Lineage: Eukaryota; Metazoa; Chordata; Cladistia; Polypteriformes; Polypteridae
Exons: 3
Source: RefSeq, a predicted model, not a curated record
GACACUAUUAGUUGCUGCGCUCGAGUUCAACGUGGCACGCACAGCCAGCAAUACGAAUGAGACUUAAAAACUGAACAGUUUUUAAAUGAGACCCCUGGUGAUUCAUGUGCAGGAAAAGGCAUCGCAAAAAGGUGGCCACAAGACACAGGAGCAUAAUGAAGAAUGGUCCAGAUGGUCAUCCUGACUGUACAUGCAGAGGAGACAACAGAAGACAAGUUAUAGGAAAUUCUGGUCACUUAUGUUUGUGGGCCCCACAACAUCAUUUCCUGUUCCUGCCCCGAUGACCUCAUUUCCUCUGCCUGACCAUAAAACCACCAUUUUUGCAUCCUGUAAACCAGUUCCAUUUUGAACUCCAAAAAACUUUGCCUUAACAGAAUGACCUACAAUAUACAGGGCGGUUACCCCAAACCUUUUCUGGCUACUUUUUUGUUUUGUUGGUGUGAAAACGUAAUGUGAAUACAUAACCAAACUUAAAGAGAAAUAAAAUAAGAUAAAUAAGCCUUAAACAAGAACUUUUCCUUUCUGUAGAAUCAACUAUUUCUCUAUUUUUGUAUGAAGUGUUUCGCUUUGAAUUUACUAAAACAUUUAAAAUGAAGAUAUUUAUUCUGUGGAAUUAUUUGAGAAUGUGUCA